This 397-nucleotide ribosomal RNA is filed under the name uncultured bacterium. RNAcentral describes it as "partial 16S ribosomal RNA". It matches the Rfam family "Bacterial small subunit ribosomal RNA", at positions 523 to 918 of the family's 1533-position model. The record is from RNAcentral.
AUACGUAGGGGGCGAGCGUUGUCCGGAAUGAUUGGGCGUAAAGGGCGCGUAGGCGGCCCGGUAAGUCUGGAGUGAAAGUCCUGUUUUUAAGAUGGGAAUUGCUUUGGAUACUGUCGGGCUUGAGUGCAGGAGAGGUAAGUGGAAUUCCCAGUGUAGCGGUGAAAUGCGUAGAGAUUGGGAGGAACACCAGUGGCGAAGGCGGGUAACUGGACUGCAACUGACGCUGAGGCGCGAAAGUGUGGGGAGCAAACGGGAUUAGAUACCCUGGUAGUCCACACUGUAAACGAUGAAUGCUAGGUGUAAGAGGUAUCGACCCCUUUUGUGCCGGAGUUAACACAAUAAGCAUUCCGCCUGGGGAGUACGGCCGCAAGGUUGAAACUCAAAGGAAUUGGCGGGG